Molecule: ribosomal RNA, 445 nt
Filed under: uncultured Bacillota bacterium
Lineage: Bacteria; Bacillati; Bacillota
Description: bacterial SSU rRNA
Rfam family: Bacterial small subunit ribosomal RNA
Source: RNAcentral
GGGCCCGCACAAGCAGCGGAGCAUGUGGUUUAAUUCGAAGCAACGCGAAGAACCUUACCAAGGCUUGACAUCCUACUAAAACUCUAGAGAUAGAGUGUUCUGCUUGCAGAGAGUAGUGACAGGUGGUGCAUGGUUGUCGUCAGCUCGUGUCGUGAGAUGUUGGGUUAAGUCCCGCAACGAGCGCAACCCUUGUCCUUAGUUACCAGCGGAUAAUGCCGGGGACUCUAGGGAGACUGCCGGGGAUAACUCGGAGGAAGGUGGGGACGACGUCAAAUCAUCAUGCCCCUUAUGUCUUGGGCUACACACGUGCUACAAUGGCCGAAACAAAGAGAAGCGAAAUGGUAACAUGGAGCGGAACUCAAAAAUACGGUCUCAGUUCGGAUUGAGGGCUGCAACCCGCCCUCCAUGAAGUUGGAGUUGCUAGUAAUCGCGAAUCAUCAUGUCG